UAUCUCUGGAACCUGUGUGCUCUCU
RNAcentral lists this non-coding RNA (25 nucleotides) under Mus musculus (house mouse). Lineage: Eukaryota; Metazoa; Chordata; Mammalia; Rodentia; Muridae. The record is from RNAcentral.